GGAAUAUUGGUCAAUGGGCGCGAGCCUGAACCAGCCAAGUAGCGUGCAGGACGACGGCCCUACGGGUUGUAAACUGCUUUUAUCAGGGGAUAAAGUGCGGGACGUGUGCCUCAUUGCAGGUACCUGAUGAAUAAGGACCGGCUAAUUGCGUGCCAGCAGCCGCGGUAAUACGGAAGGUCCGGGCGUUAUCCGGAUUUAUUGGGCGUAAAGCGAGCGCAGGCGGUUUCUUAAGUCUGAUGUGAAAGCCUUCGGCUUAACCGAAGAAGUGCAUCGGAAACUGGGAAACUUGAGUGCAGAAGAGGACAGUGGAACUCCAUGUGUAGCGGUGAAAUGCGUAGAUAUAUGGAAGAACACCAGUGGCGAAGGCGGCUGUCUGGUCUGUAACUGACGCUGAGGCUCGAAAGCAUGGGUAGCGAACA
Molecule: ribosomal RNA, 419 nt
Filed under: uncultured bacterium
Lineage: Bacteria
Description: bacterial SSU rRNA
Rfam family: Bacterial small subunit ribosomal RNA
Source: RNAcentral